CCAGACUCCUACGGGAGGCAGCAGUGGGGGAUGUUGCACAAUGGGGGGAACCCUGAUGCAGCGACGCCGCGUGGGUGAAGGAGUGCUUCGGCAUGUAAAGCCCUAUCGGCAGGGAAGAAGCAAGACGGUACCUGACUAAGAAGCCCCGGCUAACUACGUGCCAGCAGCCGCGGGAAUACGUAGGGGGCAAGCGUUAUCCGGAUUUACUGGGUGUAAAGGGAGCGCAGACGGCAGUGCAAGUCUGGAGUGAAAGCCCGGGGCCCAACCCCGGAACUGCUCUGGAAACUGUGCGGCUAGAGUACUGGAGGGGCAGGCGGAAUUCCUAGUGUAGCGGUGAAAUGCGUAGAUAUUAGGAGGAACACCAGUGGCGAAGGCGGCCUGCUGGACAGUAACUGACGUUGAGGCUCGAAAGCGUGGGGAGCAAACAGGAUUAGAUACCCCCGUAU
RNAcentral lists this ribosomal RNA (446 nucleotides) under uncultured bacterium. RNAcentral describes it as "bacterial SSU rRNA". It matches the Rfam family "Bacterial small subunit ribosomal RNA", at positions 331 to 793 of the family's 1533-position model. The record is from RNAcentral.